GCCCGUUUGGCCAAGGGGCUACGGCGUCAGUCUUGUAAACUGAAGAUCACCGGUUCGAAUCCGGUAAUGGGCA
This 73-nucleotide transfer RNA is filed under the name Coemansia sp. RSA 1804. RNAcentral's name for it is "tRNA-Thr". It matches the Rfam family "tRNA". Rfam says of the family: Transfer RNA (tRNA) molecules are approximately 80 nucleotides in length. The record is from RNAcentral. RNAcentral also lists the same sequence under 6 other names. Lineage: Eukaryota; Fungi; Kickxellomycota; Kickxellomycetes; Kickxellales; Kickxellaceae.